GACGAACGCUGGCGGCGUGCUUAACACAUGCAAGUCGAGCGGAAAGGCCCUUCGGGGUACUCGAGCGGCGAACGGGUGAGUAACACGUGAGUAACCUGCCCCAGACUUUGGGAUAACCCUCGGAAACGGGGGCUAAUACCGGAUACGACACAGCUUCGCAUGGGGUCUGUGUGGAAAGUUUUUCGGUUUGGGAUGGGCUCGCGGCCUAUCAGCUUGUUGGUGGGGUGAUGGCCUACCAAGGCGACGACGGGUAGCCGGCCUGAGAGGGCGACCGGCCACACUGGGACUGAGACACGGCCCAGACUCCUACGGGAGGCAGCAGUGGGGAAUAUUGCACAAUGGGCGGAAGCCUGAUGCAGCGCCGCCGCGUGAGGGAUGACGGCCUUCGGGUUGUAAACCUCUUUCAGCAGGGACGAAGCGUAAGUGACGGUACCUGCAGAAGAAGCGCCGGCCAACUACGUG
Molecule: ribosomal RNA, 462 nt
Filed under: uncultured bacterium
Lineage: Bacteria
Description: partial 16S ribosomal RNA
Rfam family: Bacterial small subunit ribosomal RNA
Source: RNAcentral